RNAcentral lists this ribosomal RNA (311 nucleotides) under uncultured eukaryote. RNAcentral's name for it is "partial 18S ribosomal RNA". It matches the Rfam family "Eukaryotic small subunit ribosomal RNA", at positions 1470 to 1796 of the family's 1831-position model. The record is from RNAcentral.
CCCUUAGAUGUCCUGGGCCGCACGCGUGCUACACUGAUGCAUACAGCGAGUACUCCCAGCUCCGAGAGGCUGCUGGUAAUCAGCAAUAUGCAUCGUGCUGGGGAUAGAUCUUUGGAAUUAUAGAUCUUGAACGAGGAAUUCCUAGUAAUCGCAGGUCAUCACCCUGCGUUGACUAAGUCCCUGCCCUUUGUACACACCGCCCGUCGCUCCUACCGAUUUCGAGUGAUCCGGUGAAUCAUUCGGACCGCGGCCCCUAGGCAUGCGGAAAGUCUAGUAAACCAUAUCACUUAGAGGAAGGAGAAGUCGUAACA